GAUGAAGAACGUAGCGAAAUGCGAUAAGUAAUGUGAAUUGCAGAAUUCAGUGAAUCAUCGAAUCUUUGAACGCACAUUGCGCCCCCUGGUAUUCCGGGGGGCAUGCCUGUUCGAGCGUCAUUACAACCAAUCCAGCCCGGCUGGGUGUUGGGCGUCGCGGCCUGCCGCGCGCCUCAAAGUCCUCGGCGGAAGCCGCCCGUUCCUCUGCGUGAUGAUCCAUCGCCGCUUGGGAGUCGGGGGAGAGCGCCUGCACGCGUCGACGGAGACGUCGACUUCAAGGUUGACCUCGGAUCAGGUAGGGAUACCCGCUGAACUUAAGCAUAUCAAUAAGCGGAGGA
This 338-nucleotide unclassified non-coding RNA is filed under the name soil metagenome. RNAcentral describes it as "partial contains 5.8S ribosomal RNA, internal transcribed spacer 2, and large subunit ribosomal RNA". The stretch from base 1 to 120 matches the Rfam family "5.8S ribosomal RNA", at positions 35 to 154 of the family's 154-position model. The record is from RNAcentral.